ACGAUUAAGCACCUUCGGGUGUGUAUAGAGUGGCGAACGGGUGAGUAACACGUGACAACCUGCCUCUUACAUUGGGACAACCAAAAGAAAUUCUGGCUAAUACCAAAUACUCCGCACAUAUCACAUGAUGUAUGCGGGAAAGCUUUUGCGGUAAGAGAUGGGGUCGCGGCCCAUUAGGUAGACGGCGGGGUAGAAGCCCACCGUGCUGAUGAUGGGUAGCCGGGUUGAGAGACCGACCGGCCACAUUGGGACUGAGAUACGGCCCAGACUCCUACGGGAGGCAGCAGUGGGGAAUAUUGCGCAAUGGGGGAAACCCUGACGCAGCAACGCCGCGUGCGGGAUGAAGGCCUUCGGGUUGUAAACCGCUUUCAGCAGGGAAGACAUCGACGGUACCUGCAGAAGAAGCCCCGGCUAACUACGUGCCAGCAGCCGCGGUAAUACGUAGGGGGCGAGCGUUAUCCGGAUUCAUUGGGCGUAAAGCGCGCGCAGGCGGUUGCUCAAGCGGAACCUCUAAUCUCGGGGCUUAACCUCGAGCCGGGUUCCGAACUGGACGACUCGAGUGCGGUAGAGGCAGAUGGAAUUCCCGGUGUAGCGGUGGAAUGCGCAGAUAUCGGGAAGAACACCAACGGCGAAGGCAGUCUGCUGGGCCGUCACUGACGCUGAGGCGCGAAAGCUGGGGGAGCGAACAGGAUUAGAUACCCUGGUAGUCCCAGCCGUAAACGAUGAGCGCUGGGUGUGGGAGAUUACAUCUUCCGUGCCGAAGCUAACGCAUUAAGCGCUCCGCCUGGGGAGUACGGCCGCAAGGCUAAAACUCAAAG
This 818-nucleotide ribosomal RNA is filed under the name uncultured bacterium. RNAcentral describes it as "bacterial SSU rRNA". It matches the Rfam family "Bacterial small subunit ribosomal RNA", at positions 66 to 906 of the family's 1533-position model. The record is from RNAcentral.